Long non-coding RNA from Diospyros lotus (date-plum), 4194 nucleotides. RefSeq lists it as uncharacterized. The record is from RefSeq and is a predicted model, not a curated record. The transcript is spliced from 2 exons. Lineage: Eukaryota; Viridiplantae; Streptophyta; Magnoliopsida; Ericales; Ebenaceae.
CACACACACACACAGUCAACAUAUCUAUGUCUGUAUGUAUCUAGUUGGGUUUCCUGAAUCAUAGGUGGAGCUUAAUUAAUGCGGCAUGGUUUGUCAUUUUUAUCUGUUUGGAAAGCGUUGUCGAUAUAUAAUAUAUUAAUAUUGUGUAUACACACACACACACACUCUAUAUAUAUAUAUAUGUAUACAGCUGCUAUGUCUCAGUGAUAUUUAUGUAGUUAGCAGAGGAACAGACGAGAAGGACGAUAGCAAUCUUUCUAGCUUCCUAGAGAGGUGAGACCCACUGGCCAAAACUACAAAGAAAUUUCCUACUCCUACCUAAUUCUUUGUUACUGGUCAAAGUUUUCAUGCCACUUGUGCUAAGGUGAAUCACCAACAUGGACCACAAGAACUAUAUAAAAGAAAAUGAUAAAAAAAAAUUAACAAAAAAAAAUUGUUUUAUGAACAAAAUAUUUGCACGCAAAUUAUAAUUUUUCUAUGAAAAAUAUUUUCGAACCCUCCCUCUUACGGAACAUAAUUUUGGUAUGUACAAAACUUUAAAAAUGUCUACAUGAGGUUGCAGAACUCCAUUUAUAAACCCCAUCACUUUUUUUGGGUAGCAGCAACAGUACUCUCUCACACUCUCACUUUUUUUGGGUAGCAGCAACAGUACUCUCUCACACUCUCACUUUUUUUGGGUAGCAGCAACAGUGUCCCUCUCUUUCUUGUUGGGGUAAACCAUUCUUUUAAAAAUUGGACUAAACCGACUAGUCGAAUCGAUUUAAUCGGAACCAAUGGCUUAUCCUAUCCAGUUUAACAUAAAAAUUCAAAUCUUCUUCAACUCGGUCAAAACCGAUGAAAUCGGUGAACCGAGAAUUGGGUUGAUCCUGAUUUUUUUCACCUUCUCACUUAUUUUUAAAUUUUUAAUUCUUAACUAAUUCUUUAAUAACAUAUAUAAUAAUUAUAUAUAAAAUAUUAGUUGUAUAUUAGUUAAUAAUAGCAUUUCUCAUAAUAAUAUAUAAUAUUAGUAUUUUAAAUAUAUAUUAAAAUAUAUAUUUAAUAUAUAUAUUAUUUAAUUAUAAAAUAUAUAUAUGAUAUCAUCCGUUCGGACCAUUCCGAUUUAAUCGGUCGGACCAACUGACCUAUGACCCAACCCAAUUAAUAGACCGAUUCACUCUCCGGUCUGAUUUUUAAAACAUUAGGUUAAACCCAAGACUCUUUUAAGCAACAAAAAGGGUUAAAGCAACAAGAAGAUUUGUGAAAUUAAGAGAAAUUAUUAUUAUUUUUAGAAUUUUAGAGCCACCGCAUGCUUUUAGUCUAAAUUACAGGAACUGCUUAUUUGUCCAAUAAACUUAUCCACGAAUAACUCAAAAAACAAUGAUUCUGAGUUUUCACCAUUGAAAAAAUCAAACCAAACGUAUUUUAAAAUUAUUUGAGGUUUACUAGACUUUGAAUCAGUGUUGCAAAACCAGACUGAUUUGAGUUCAAAGUUGUAUAAUCUGUAAGGACUCGUUAUUAGCUUCUUUGAACAAUCAUGGGGACCAUACUUGACCCAAAAUGUUAGCGCUUCUAUGGGGGUAAUAACAUUCAAAAGUGCCGGCUAGCUAUGCAGCAGCCACGCCAUAUACCUUGGAAAAAGCUCUUCUUCUAGGAAGAGCUUCCUUUCCUGGAAAAUACCAGUGGAUUAUUUAUGGCUUAAAUUACUCGGUUCAGAAUUUAUCUAUCUAGUCAGUAUCAAUGACUACUGCCCAUCUUCUUCCUCAACUCCUCCAGCCAUGUCCUGCUCUUGCUCGGACUAGUGGCAGGGUACAAGUGGGAGAAUCUAUUACAGCUAAUGGCAAGCCCCCCACGGCUGUCAUCUUCCAAUGAUUUUGCAUUUGGGUUUCAUCAGUUCCAGGACAAGGACCUCUUCCUGCUCUCCAUUUGGUACCACAAAAUGCCCCGACAAAACUAAGUCAGGCACGCAAUCAAGGCGAGACCCUGUGGAGUUCUGGGUCCAUUGGGGAUGAAGUUGCUUUCGGCCUCAUGAACGACGCAGGGAACUUUGUGCUUUUGGGUAGACGCAAUUCAAUUCGUUGCCCAUUUGGGGAGAGCUGAGCUUCGGAUACCCAAUUGACACCCUGUUGCCUACCCAGUUCAUGGAGUCUGGAGGAGAGCUUUUUUCUCCAGGGGAAAGUUCAAGCUCCAGAUGGAGGACGAUGGCGAUCUAGUGCUCGAAUCUAUACUAUAGAUGUGCUUAAGAGUCUAUCUUACUAUACAUACUGCGCCAGCGGCCCUUCUGAUGCGGCUGAUCAAUCGAAUUCUGGGUACCAACUAAUCUAUGACCAAACAGGAUGAUAUAUGUACGUGUUGGGAAGGAACAAAUAUAUGAAAGACGAGAUGACAUACCUCCGAUCAGCGACUAUUAUCAUAGGGCAACAAUUGAUUUUGAUGGAGUUUUUACUCGGUCCUAUCAUCCGAAGGAUUCCUCUGCCAAUCCUAACUUGACGGCCGGCGCAACAAUUCCGGAUAACAUUUGUGUUGAUACGAAUGGACUCAAAGCCAAAGGAAGUGGGGCUUGUGGAUAUAUACCCGUAUCUGUAGCGUUGAUGCCUAUCAUAGGCCAGUUUGCGAAUGCCCAAGCGGAUUCUCAUUGCUUGAUCCAAAUGAUAAGUAUGGUGACGGCAAACCGAGUUCCAUACCCAACUGUGGAGAAGAUGGCCUCAGUUCUGGAGAGGAUCUCUAUGACUACCAGAAGCUGGUAGACACUGACUGGCCACAGUCCGACUACGAGCAGCCCAGCAUUUCAAGCGCAGAGGAGUGCAAGAAAUCUUGCCGGCAGGAUUGCUUCUGCGUUGUCGUCAUUUUGACAAAUGGCAACUGCAUAGGAAGAGGAUGCCACUUUCAAAUGGGCAAAAGAACCCUUAAGUUAAAACUAUAGUUUUCAUUACGUUCAGGAAAAGUGAUGUUCCUACACUACCAACUCCUAAUCCUCCACCAGAAAUAAGGAAGAAAGGCAUGACUUUCGGUCUGGUAGCAUCAGUGCUCUUGGGUAGCUCUGUUCGUCAAUUUUGUAUUGAUUUAUGCCUUGUGCUUAGGCUUUUUCCUCAUUUACCAUAAGAAAAUCAUAAGAUUUUACAAUGGUGGCAACUCUACGUAAACAAAUCUUCGUUGCUUUACAUACAAAGAGCUCGCAGGAGCCACUGAUGGUUUCAAGGAAGAAGUGGGGAGGGGCUCUUUUGGUAUCGUUUACAGAGGGGCAAUACAAAUGGGUUCUGGAAAUGCUAUAGCAGUCAAGAAGCUGGUCCAAGCCAAAGAGCAGGAUUCAGAACUGAAGUAAAUGUGAUCGGCUAGACUCUUCACAGGAACCUGGUCCGAUUGCUCGGGUUCUGUGAUGGAGGAGAGGACCGGAUGCUCAUAUAUGAGUACUUGAGCAAUGGCAACCUUGCGAGCUUCCUCGUCGGAGACAUGAAGCUGAGCUGGACCCAGAGGAGCCAGAUUGCAUUGGGGAUUGCAAGAGGGCUCCUCUACCUCCAUGAAGAGUGCAGCACUCAUAUUAUCCACUGUGAUAUAAAGCCGCUUAAAUGAGAUAUAGAUACAAGCAUCAUUUGAAAAUUUAUCAAAACAAGCAUAUAAAUGGGGUUAAUUAAGUCAUCAUUUACAUCCCGAUGAUUACUACAGCGCCCAGAUUUCUUUGGGUUGGAAAAACUUUUAAUGAUCGGCCGGAGUCGCGCCAAUACCGGUGUUGACAGGCACAAAAGGCUUUUAUGUAGCACCAGAGUGGUUCAGAAGCAAGCCAAUCACCAAAAAGAUUGUUGGUUGUAGGAGUGUGGGGGAUCUGGAGGCUGGCGAAGAAAAAGCAAUUUGAAUCGAUCGACUGGGCUUCUGACUGCAUCCUGGAGGGAUUGGUUGAAGAUGAUUUGGAGGCCUUAAACGACUAGGAGAGAGUGGAGAGAUAUCUGAUUAAUAGCAUUUGGUGCAUUCAGGAAGAUCAAUUGCAGAGUCCAAGGGUGAGGAAAUCACUCAGAUGAUAGGAGUUUUCCAAGUUAGUGUGGCUCCCCCUUUCCAAGUUACUUCUGUUAGUUGAGGGAGCCCAUGUUUUGUGUGCUAGGUUCAUGUCAAGUAUUUCGAGCAAGUCUAAGAUACUAUUAGAAGAUUGAUUUUUUACUUCAACUUUUCAAGAUUGUUAAAAGAUUUUGUAGGAGAGAUUUUAGUAAGUGGCUCCUAAAUUCUACA